This 445-nucleotide ribosomal RNA is filed under the name uncultured bacterium. RNAcentral's name for it is "partial 16S ribosomal RNA". It matches the Rfam family "Bacterial small subunit ribosomal RNA", at positions 354 to 796 of the family's 1533-position model. The record is from RNAcentral.
GUGAGGAAUAUUGGUCAAUGGGCGAGAGCCUGAACCAGCCAAGUCGCGUGAAGGAAGAAGGAUCUAUGGUUCGUAAACUUCUUUUGCAGGGGAAUAAAGUGCGGGACGUGUCCUGUUUUGUAUGUACCCUGAGAAUAAGGAUCGGCUAACUCCGUGCCAGCAGCCGCGGUAAUACGGAGGAUCCGAGCGUUAUCCGGAUUUAUUGGGUUUAAAGGGUGCGUAGGUGGUUUGAUAAGUCAGCGGUGAAAGUUUGCAGCUUAACUGUAAAAAUGCCGUUGAAACUGUCGGACUGGAGUGUAAAUGAGGUAGGCGGAAUGCGUGGUGUAGCGGUGAAAUGCAUAGAUAUCACGCAGAACUCCGAUUGCGAAGGCAGCUUACUAAGCUACAACUGACACUGAAGCACGAAAGCGUGGGGAUCAAACAGGAUUAGAAACCCUUGUAGUCC